This 253-nucleotide ribosomal RNA is filed under the name uncultured bacterium. RNAcentral's name for it is "partial 16S ribosomal RNA". It matches the Rfam family "Bacterial small subunit ribosomal RNA", at positions 524 to 776 of the family's 1533-position model. The record is from RNAcentral.
UACGGGGGGGGCAAGCGUUGUUCGGAAUUACUGGGCGUAAAGGGCGCGUAGGCGGCUUUCUUAGUCGGACGUGAAAUCCCCAGGCUCAACUUGGGAACUGCGUCCGAUACUGGAUGGCUUGAGUGCGGGAGAGGGAUGUGGAAUUCCAGGUGUAGCGGUGAAAUGCGUAGAUAUCUGGAGGAACACCGGUGGCGAAGGCGGCAUCCUGGACCGACACUGACGCUGAGGCGCGAAAGCUAGGGGAGCAAACGGG